CCUACGGGAGGCAGCAGUGGGGAAUUUUUCGCAAUGGGGGAAACCCUGACGAAGCAACGCCGCGUGGAGGAUGAAGGCCUUCGGGUCGUAAACUCCUGUCGACCGGGACGAAGGUACCCGACCUAAUACGUCGGAGUAUUGACUGUACCGGUGGAGGAAGCCACGGCUAACUCUGUGCCAGCAGCCGCGGUAAUACAGAGGUGGCAAGCGUUGUUCGGAAUUACUGGGCGUAAAGGGCGCGUAGGCGGUCCGAUAAGUCCCGUGUGAAAUCCCUCGGCUCAACUGAGGAACCGCACGGGAAACUGCCGGGCUUGAGUUCGGGAGAGGGAAGCGGAAUUCCGGGUGUAGCGGUGAAAUGCGUAGAUAUCCGGAGGAACACCGGUGGCGAAGGCGGCUUCCUGGACCGACACUGACGCUGAGGCGCGAAAGCUAGGGGAGCA
This 440-nucleotide ribosomal RNA is filed under the name uncultured bacterium. RNAcentral describes it as "bacterial SSU rRNA". It matches the Rfam family "Bacterial small subunit ribosomal RNA", at positions 338 to 770 of the family's 1533-position model. The record is from RNAcentral.